UUGUCCCCCCACUGAGAUCCCUUAGAAAACAGGUAUACACUUCUUCCCUUACAGAAGCUUCUAUCAGUGAGUCUUCCAUGGCUAAAUUGAGAUCUCCUAUCUGUUUUAGCAUGUCUGCUUCCACCAAAGAAUGUUGCAUCCUCUUCUCAUUGGCGUCCGAAACUUGGGACAAAAGGGACUUAACUUCAACUUGCGUAUCUUUAAGCAAGUCUCUAAGCUGGUGAUUUUCAGAAAGAAG
This is a long non-coding RNA of Lycium ferocissimum, 238 nucleotides long. RefSeq lists it as uncharacterized. NCBI's taxonomy places the organism in Eukaryota, Viridiplantae, Streptophyta, Magnoliopsida, Solanales, Solanaceae. The transcript has 2 exons. The record is from RefSeq and is a predicted model, not a curated record.